UAGGAGUAGGAUCUAACUUUU
RNAcentral lists this non-coding RNA (21 nucleotides) under Caenorhabditis elegans. The record is from RNAcentral. Lineage: Eukaryota; Metazoa; Nematoda; Chromadorea; Rhabditida; Rhabditidae.